CCUAGGGGGGCUGCAGUGGGGAAUAUUGGACAAUGGGCGAAAGCCUGAUCCAGCCAUGCCGCGUGUGUGAAGAAGGCCUUCGGGUUGUAAAGCACUUUCAGUGGGGAAGAAAGCCUUGGGGCUAAUACCCUCGAGGAAGGACAUCACCCACAGAAGAAGCACCGGCUAACUCCGUGCCAGCAGCCGCGGUAAUACGGAGGGUGCGAGCGUUAAUCGGAAUUACUGGGCGUAAAGCGCGCGUAGGCGGUCUGAUAAGCCGGUUGUGAAAGCCCCGGGCUCAACCUGGGAACGGCAUCCGGAACUGUCAGGCUAGAGUGCAGGAGAGGAAGGUAGAAUUCCCGGUGUAGCGGUGAAAUGCGUAGAGAUCGGGAGGAAUACCAGUGGCGAAGGCGGCCUUCUGGACUGACACUGACGCUGAGGUGCGAAAGCGUGGGUAGCAAACAGGAUUAGAUACCCGUGUAGUC
RNAcentral lists this ribosomal RNA (464 nucleotides) under Vreelandella stevensii. Its description in RNAcentral is "partial 16S ribosomal RNA". It matches the Rfam family "Bacterial small subunit ribosomal RNA", at positions 338 to 795 of the family's 1533-position model. Lineage: Bacteria; Pseudomonadati; Pseudomonadota; Gammaproteobacteria; Oceanospirillales; Halomonadaceae. The record is from RNAcentral.